UCCGGCGGCGAUAGUGCGGUAGGCCCACCUGAUUCCAUGCCGAACUCAGAAGUGAAAUGCCGUAACGCCGAUGGUAGUGUGGGGUCUCCCCAUGUGAGAGUAGGACACCGCCGGAU
RNAcentral lists this ribosomal RNA (116 nucleotides) under Pasteurella testudinis. The record is from RNAcentral. Lineage: Bacteria; Pseudomonadati; Pseudomonadota; Gammaproteobacteria; Pasteurellales; Pasteurellaceae. RNAcentral also lists the same sequence under 1 other name.